Pan troglodytes (chimpanzee) is the source of this 527-nucleotide long non-coding RNA. RefSeq lists it as uncharacterized. The transcript is spliced from 3 exons. The record is from RefSeq and is a predicted model, not a curated record. NCBI's taxonomy places the organism in Eukaryota, Metazoa, Chordata, Mammalia, Primates, Hominidae.
AGAAAGCAAUAUACAGUAAGCUAAACAGUCACCUUCCAAAAGGGAGAAAGGGAUUAGAUUGCUGCUUCAGAGCUGUGGAACUAUUUGGAAUGUUUUACAAAUGGUUGCUAUAAAACAACAAAAAAGGUUGGAGAGAUGAGGAAGAAUCAACAAAGAAGAAUGUGAAGAGGCCAGUGAGCUAGGAGUAAAACCAAGAAAGUAAAGGAUCCUAGAAGUCAAACGAAGAAAGAGUUUCAAGAGGGGGAAUGUCAUUAUGUAUGUCAAGUACGGAAAAUGGGUUAAAUAAGUAAUAUGUACAUGACUUUUCCAUAAGUCAAAAGUCUUGAAGGACUGACUUUCUACGGAGAAGAAGUGACUCACUUUGCCUGGAGAGCUGGGAAAGAGGAGCCACUGAGAUGGGCUUUGAGAGGAUGACUAGGAAUCCCCAGAGAGAAAAAAGAGAGCAAAUGGAAUUUUACGAAUGAGAAAUAUUAAUAGCAUGUACGAACUCUAGCAUGUACUUUCAGUAAAACAAAAUUUUUCUUUUU